RNAcentral lists this long non-coding RNA (7103 nucleotides) under Cucumis sativus (cucumber). Its description in RNAcentral is "long non-coding RNA (CSAT_LNC002221)". The record is from RNAcentral. Lineage: Eukaryota; Viridiplantae; Streptophyta; Magnoliopsida; Cucurbitales; Cucurbitaceae.
UUUAGUAUAUAUGUUGCAUUGUAGUGCAUUAUUUGAUAGGUAAUACUUUUUGGUAGCAUAGUAAUAAGAUAGAUCAUCACAUUUUGAUUUAUUUCAAGCUUUAUCCAAGACAAGAGAUAAAGCUAUACACACAAUCAAAAGUAUAUAAAAGAAAAAUUAAGAAACGCACACAAAUGACAUAGGAGUGGCUGAUGGAUAACAUAGUGUGGUAUAGUGAUGAUGAAUUAUAUAGAUCAGAGAGGGAGAGACUUGCUUUGAUAAUUAAAAUUAAAGGUAUAGACUCCAGUGUAAAGACCAUCAUCACACACUCUCUCAACUUUUCUUCCAUUCCGAAGAAGAUCUCGUUGCGUGUACGAAAAUGGAAUAUCACAUUUGGCCUUAGUUGCAAGAAGAGUAACUUUCAUCUUUGUGUUUGGUGGUACAAUAACAGUAUAUGUUCCAGUUACUUCUUUACUUUCUUGAAUAGUUUCUCCCCAUUUGUAACUACCUUCAAAAGUGUAGUUGACUUUAAUCUCAGUUUCAAAAAGUGAAGGAACCCCGGCUUUAAUGGAAGUCUCUAUACCCACACCUAUGGUUAGUGAAGAUUCCCAAGUUUUAGAUUUUUCUUCUUGGUACCUCAAACUUACGGUCAUAAUCGCCUCUUUUGGGCUCGUGUUGAUAGCCUCCUCCGCGGCCAUUGUUAGUACUUGUGCGUCAUAUUUCCUCGCAUCCAUAGUUCGGUAUUGAAUAUUGUAGAUUUCCCUUGAAAUAAUUGGCUCAACGAUCUCCAAUUCUGCAUCCUGUGUGAUAGAAUCAAUAUUAGAGUUCAAAAAGUUCGACUUACCAUCAGCACUUAAAUUCCUACAGAACAUGCCAUUGGCAACGUUUCGAAGCGCGACUUUAUUUUUAGCAAUCUUGAUUGGCCAAAACAAGGUGUUUUUGUCGUUCUCCGUCUGGUCGUCUGAGUCAGCCUUGAUCCAGUUUGGGUCACGUCUCCAAAACAUCUUCGUAGAUUCAUUCUUAAUUCUUAUAGUUCCAUCGCCGACGUUGAAAACUUCUUGGCUCACCCUAGGGUCUCCAACGUCGUGGGCAUUGAAUUGCAAAUAUGUGGUGUAAUUAUAAGGAUAGGCAGCGAGAAACUUGUCACCGUUCUUAAAGGUGACGUAUUUAGGGAGUCGGAUGAUGUUUUCAAAAUCGACUAACAAAAGUAAUUUGUCGCCAUGAUGUUUUUCAUCUUGUUUAUAUCUAGUUGUGAGAACAUUGGGAUGAUUCUUGCAACUAGUACAUCGACAUGCAUAGGUUUGAAGCAAUACAUCAAAUAAAUAGUAAGUCCCUACAGUAGGACCUUGGAUGAUAUUAAACAAUGUGCAUGGCCAUGAGGUAUCGUUUUCACUCGGCUUGCUAACAAAGGGACGAACAAAGCGAUUGUAGUCAUUGGAAGAGGCUAAGUACUUGUUGUUGUAGCAACAUUUAAUGUGCCAAUAUUUACCAUUCUUGUCGGGCUCAAUCUCGAACUUUGUAAACGGGGUCAAAGCUUGAUCAGAAGAGAAGUAUAGAUUGCCCUUAAAAAAACCAUGGGUAAGGUAUUGAAGGUACUUCCUUUCUGUGUGGUUCUGAAAUCCUACAUACUUAGGGAGAAACGACAUUAUUAUAGAUAUGAUCAACAGAUACAAAGAGAGAGAGAGAGAUGAGCUUGAGUGUACGUGUAUGUAUGUAUAAGUUUUCUUCUUCUUAAUUACACACUUAAUUCUCUAAGGUGUGAGUACUAAUACCCAAUAUCCAAACCUCUUCUCUUUAUAUAUACAUGUAUGGAUAACUAAUAUUAACUAUUAUCUUCUGCAUGAUCGUAGGACGAUACAUCACUUAUAAUAUGGAUAACAAGGAAUCCUUACUUUACUUUUUUUCUUUAUUGACUAAAUAAUUUAAACUUUAUACUUUGUGUCAAUCAAAAAUAUCUCUCAACCCUAAAUAUAUAUAUUUUUAAAAAUAAUUUAAAGCAGCAUUUUCAAAAAUAGCAAAAUAAAAUAAAAUAUUUACAAGCUAUAACAAAAUUUUAGAUUUUAUGAGUGAUAAAAAUGUAGCAUAUCAAUGAUUAUCAGUUAUAGAAUUGAUUGUAAAUAUUUUGUAAAAUCUACUGCUUUUUUAAAUUUCCCUAAUUUAAAAGUAUUUACAUUGCAUUGCACAUGUUAUGUAAAAAGAAAAUAUUUAAAAGUUGUAGAUUCAUGGUACGGUGAUAGAAAACUACUAGCUAUAGAAUCCAAGAUUUUGCUAUAGUUUUUAAAUAUUUUAAUUAAUUUAUUUUGCUAUUUUAAAAAAUAGUCAUAAGACCAUAAAUUAGUUAUUUAAGAUUUUUUUCGAAAACUCAUUCUUAUGUUUUAGAUUUGGGAAAUUGUCAAAUAUUCAUUUACACUUUAUAGAAAAAUAAAAUUGAAUCACUCUCGAGAAAAUAUAAUUUUUGUUUGUUUUUUUGGAUGAAGUGAAAAUAGUUUGUCAAAUUUUUUUAUAUUUUUUUAAAAAAAUUGAAGAUUUGGUUAGCUUAAAUUAUUAUUUAUUAUUAAAAACCAUUAUAUAUAUUUUAAAAUUUUGUGAAUAUUUAGAAAUCUAAUUUUUUUAAAAACAUUGUUCACUUUUGGUUGUAGUGAAUAUAUAUCAAAAUCUAUUAGAUUUUCAAAAAAAAAUUAUCUCCAACCUAAUAUCUAUUAUUAUUUUCUAAAAAUUGUUCCGAUAGAAAUAUAUAAAAAAAUAUUAAUUUUUAUAUGUGGUGAUAGACUCUUAUCGCUGAUAUAGUCUAUAUUAUUGAUAGAUUUCCAAAUAUUGAUCUAAAUUUUGUUAUAUCAAAAAAGAAAAAAUAAAAACCAAAGUUUUUUACUACCGACACCUUUUUCCACUCUCCAACACUAGAGUCACCCACCUUUCUACAACAUAAUGGAUGUGAGACAAACACUUUUAAUAUUUUGCCAAAAAUUCUUACAAAAAUGAUAUUUUCAGUACGUGGAACCCUCCGUUUAAAAUUUGCAGAACUAGGAAGAUUUAGAAAAAGUCGUUUUAGAAAAGAGGUUAAUAUAAUUGCUAACCUGAGUAGUUAUCUCAAGGACAAGAGAUCUCGAAUUCAAAUCUUUCCACGCUUCCGUAUUGUAUUAUUUAAACAUAUCUUUAAAAAAACUUAAUUAAUUUGUAACCUAAAAAUAAAUAACAUUAUCUUUUUGUUUUCUUUUCAUACGAAGAUUAUAUUGCUGCUUAAGAACAAUAUACUUUACUAAAUUCUUUUGUUUGAGCAGACUAGAACAUACUGAUAUAUUCCAUGUUUCACAUUGUUGAACGACUUUAACUUUUACAUUCAUACAACUUUUGUACGAGCAUCUUAUUUUUGUUUCGAGUCAUUGACAUUCAACCUCGCCAGUUCCAAAAUAUGGGGCUGUUUAUUAAUUCUCUCUCUUUAGUUAGGAGGGUCUCUAUCUCUAAAUAAAAAGUUGUUUAAAUAAUUGAUCCUCAAUCUGCUUUUAAUAUACAUGUUAUUGACCAAGGUUAUAUAAAUGUUAUUAGUACAUAUUAAUCAAGAGUUCAAAAAUGUUAUGUAUUUUUUUCUUAAACUAAUAUUAUUUAAGGUAAUGUGAUCCCAAACCUUAAGUUACUUAAUGAAGCAAUGAAGAAGAAUAUAGCUAAAUAUAGUAGAUGCCUUUAUCUUUCUUUCUUUGAUCAUUUCGUCUUCAUCUUAUUCCAUUGCUAGAUUAGAUCUUGUUGAACUUAUAUCUAAUACCAUAAAUCUUUCUUCAUUUAUGCUUGAAUUAUUAAACUACAUUCUAUUUCCUUACCCGAACUUUGAAUACUUUAAAGAAAAAUAUUUAAAAAAGUAGAUUUUACAAAAUAUUUACGAACAUAUACCAAAUUCUAUCAUAUCAGUCAUAGAAUCUAAAAUUUUGCUAGUAAAUACUUUAUUUUAUUUUGUUAUUUUUAAAAAUGUUUUAUAUAUAAAACAUCGAUAUAAAAACAGUAAAAAGACUUUUAAAGACAGAUUUGUCCGGUUUUAAAUUAAAUGUAUUGAAUUAAAAAAUUAUUAGGUAAAUUGAUUUUUAAAAAGAGAAAUUUUUAGAAAUAGUAGAUUUUACAAAAUAUUUACAACUUAUAGCAAAUUCUAUCACUGAUAGUCAUUGAUAUGCUAUCGUGAUAGAAGACUAUCAUUGAUGGAAUCUAAAAUUUUGGUAUAGCUUGUAAAUAUUUUAAUUUAUUUUGCUAUUUUAAAAAAUGUUCCUCCCCAACCUAAAAGUUUUGUUUAAUUAAAUAAUUAGAGUAAUAAUAAGAAUUUAGCUUUAAUGAUUGGAAUAAAAAAACGGUUAAUAACUAAUUGAGUCCAAACUUACCGUAUAAACACACACAAGAUUGAAGAUCGAAAAUUGCUCGAAGAUGAAGAUGAAAAUUGAAAUUGUUCAUAGUAAAACAUUAUUUGUUAAUUUAUAAUUUUUUUUGUUAUAGUUUAUACUGUUUUUUUUGUUAAUAAUUCAACCGUUUAUAAUAUUUUUUGUGCAUAGAAACGUACAAAACUUUAUUUUCAUAAACUUUUAAUUUAUCCAAAAAAAAAUGAGAUGUGUUAUUUUGAUUUAAUUAUUUAGUUCAUUUUCUAUAAGAUAGAUGAAAAAAGGUGUGAUUAAUAAAGUUAGAAGUUUUUCUAAAAUCGUGAAUAAAAGUAAUUACAAUUGUUUACAAAUUUAAUUAUAUUAUAGCAAAUCAAAAAUAAAAAUAGAAAACCUGUUAGCAUUUAAAAUUUUAUAGUUUGUUACAUUUAUUAUAUAAAUGUGUUUGAAAUCGUAUUCAAAUAUACAUUUUCUUUCACAGAAAUUUGUUCAAAAUAAUAUUAUGUAGAUUUAUUGUAGCAGAGAUUUAUAGAGAAAAUGUCAAUAAAGCUGAUAAAUAAAAAAAGGGAUAAAAGUUCUAUUUUUUAAAAAAUGGAUCAUACUCGUUCACCCAUCGUUGUAUUGCAUAAAUUUACGAGCAUUUCCAAUCUUAUAAGUAUUUUUUUGAAGACUAAAUGUACAAUUGUAUUGAUACAAAAGCAUACAUGUAUGGUAAUACUUAGUGAAUUAAAAUUAUAGUUAUAAUACAUUGUGUGGACAUUUAAUUUUUUUUUAAGGAAAGGAGAAAUCUAAUUAGUAAUUUAAGAUAAUUAUCCAAAAUUAUAUAACUGUGAAUGCUUUGUAAUUAAAAUAAUAAAUAAAUUAGUUAUUUUCUAAUAUCAAAAUAAACUAAAAUAUUUAAAGUAUAGGAAAGUAUCACUUAUAGGUGUUGAUAGAUACAAUAAAUUUAUGAAUGUUUAUCAUUGAUUUACUAUGAAAAUUCUCUUAUAAUUAAAAAUAAUUUCAACCAUUUUAUUAUUGGGACACUUGCAAAAAUGACAAAACAAGUUAUAAUAAUUAAGUCCAUAACACACAAGUUUUAUUAUUUUCGAAGAUGGCAAAAACGAAGUCCAACCCACACAUCAAGAGGUAAAAUAUCACUAAUGUCUUUGUUACUAAUAUACAUCUGAUACACCUUAUACACGUCUGAUACACCUAAUACACCCCUUGAUACACCUAAUAUACCCCUUGAUACACCUGAUACUUCUUGAUACACCCGAUAUAUUUGAUUGAUACACUUGAUGCACCUAAUACUUUUUGAUACAUUCGAUACCUUUUGAUACACACCUGAAACAUUACUAAUAUAUGUUUGAUACACUGCAGAUACAUUUAGUAUUCUUCACUUAUACAAUUGAUUGAUUAAAUGCACUUGAUAUGCUUGAAGUCCUACUUAUAUACUUGAUAUAAUAUUGAUAUACACUUGUAAACUUGAUUCAUAUACUUGAUAAUGAUUCACUUUACUAAUAUGUUUUAACAAUAUAUUGUUAAUAUACUUGAUAAUGAUACACUGAGUUACAUCAUUCAUAUACUUAAUAAUACUCUAACGAACUACGUAAAGUUUGAAAAAACGAAAAUCAUGUAGUAAGUAUAUUAACCAACUAAUACAUAUAAUAUAAGUAUAUCACAACACUAUAUACGAAACUGAGAAAAAGUAAAACAAAAAAAUUAAUGUAAAAAAAUAAAACAAAAUCAUUUGGAAUCUAAUUCAACUCAAAAUACAUAUCGAAGGAAGUAAAAAAAAAAUCACAAAUGAAGUUAAUUACUCCGAUCAACAACCAUUAUAUUAUAUUUCAUAUUGCAAUUAUUGUACUAUUGAUAUUUUAAAAUUAAGAUUAAGACAAAAAGAAUAAAUUAUUUUUUUAGUAUAAGAAUAAACAAAUAAUUAGGGUCUUAGAAAGUGAGAGAAUAAAUAAAUAAUAAGUAGACAUUAAAUAGAGGAAGAGAAAUAAGUUAUUGAACGGUAAUUUAGGAAUAAUAACAAACUUAAGAUGAAGAAGUAAAAAUUUUGCCAUAUUUACAAAAUUCUAAAACAAUGUGCUAUAAUUGCUAUAUUAUAUUCUCGAAAUGUUAUCAUAAGGAAUUUUUAAAUAUUAUUUACAACUAUUUUUUAAAAUUAUAAUAUAUUACUUAUUUGUAAAUUCCCACCUAAAAGUUAACAUAGCUAGAUUAGGAGAUGAUUGCAAAUAUGAUUUUAGCAUUAUGGUUAUAAAAAUUUGAAGCAUACAUUUACAAAAUCACCAACUUUAUGUGUGUAUAUAUAUAUGACAAAUUAUGUGCAAUAGAAUCUUUAGAAUUUGAGUCUAAAAUCAAAAAUUUAUAAUAUAUAUGUGUGUAAAUUUUAAAAUAACUAAAUAUGCAUCUCAACUUCAAAUAUAUAUAUGUGACACAUAGAUAAAAUAUAUAUGUUAAUAGAAAAGAGAUUAGAAUUAAAAUAUGUAUAAUUUUUAGUAUUAUCUUUUUUUGCAUUGAACUGCAUUAUUUGUUAGGUAAUACUUUUUGUAGCAUAGUAAUAAGAUAGAUCACAUUUUGAUUUAUUAAAAGCUUUAUCCAACACAACAGAUAAAGCUAUACACACACUCAAGAGUAAGUAAAAGAAAAAUUAAGAAACACAAACACAAAUGACAUAAUAGUGGAUGAUGGAUAAUAUAGUGUGGUAUAGUGAUGAUGAAUUAUAUAAAUCAGAGAGGAAGAGGCUUGUUUUGAUAAUCAAACUUAAAGGUAUAGACUCCAGUGUAA